UUUAGUUCAAAACCCCGAAACUAAGUGAGCUACCCCGAGACAGCCUAUCAAUUAGGGCCAACCCAUCUCUGUGGCAAAAGAGUGGGAAGAGCUCCGGGUAGAGGUGACAAACCUACCGAACUUAGUUAUAGCUGGUUACCUAAGAAAUGAAUAAAAGUUCAGCCUCGCACUCCUUGCCUCACAAACAUCCAAAACCACACGAGCCAAAGAAAUAUGCGAGAGUUAGUCAAAGGGGGUACAGCCCCUUUGAAACAGGACACAACCUCAUGCAGGAGGUUAAAGAUUAUACUAAACAAGAUACACCGCUUUAGUGGGCCUAAAAGCAGCCACCUAGACAGAUAGCGUUAAAGCUCCAGCGGACUAAAAAUCUAUUAUCCAAAUAAUUUAUCUAAAACCCCUAACAAUAUUAGGUCGCCCCAUGCCUACAUGGAAGAGAUACUGCUAAAAUGAGUAAUAAGAAGGAACCCCCUUCUCCUAGCCUACGUGUAUAUUAGAUCGGACCCCCCACUAAUAAUUAUCGAGCCCAACCAAAGAGGGUAAUGUGAUCGCACUAAACAACAAGAAAACAUCACACCACCAAAUCGUUAAUCCCACACCGGAAGGCCCACAAGGAAAGACUAAAAGAAAAGGAAGGAACUCGGCAAACCCAAGCCUCGCCUGUUUACCAAAAACAUCGCCUCCUGCAAAAAUCAAUGUAUAGGAGGUCCUACCUGCCCAGUGACAAGUUAAACGGCCGCGGUAUUUUGACCGUGCGAAGGUAGCGCAAUCACUUGUCUUUUAAAUGAAGACCUGUAUGAAUGGUGGAACGAGGGCUUAACUGUCUCCCCUUUCCAGUCAAUGAAAUUGAUCUGCCCGUGCAGAAGCGGACAUAUUAGUACAAGACGAGAAGACCCUUUGGAGCUUAAGAUAAAAGAUCAACUAUGUCAAGAAACUAAAAACAUAGCUUAAACUAAAUAGCAGCUGAUCCUUAUCUUCAGUUGGGGCGACUGCGGAAGAAAACAAAGCUUCCACGAGGAUUGGGAUAAAUAACCUAAAGCCGAGAAAGACACUUCUAAGCCACAGAACAUCUGACCAUAUAAGAUCCGGCCACCCGCCGAUCAACGGACCAAGUUACCCUAGGGAUAACAGCGCAAUCCCCUUUCAGAGUUCAAAUCGACAAGGGGGUUUACGACCUCGAUGUUGGAUCAGGACAUCCUAAUGGUGCAGCCGCU
RNAcentral lists this ribosomal RNA (1211 nucleotides) under Silurus asotus (Amur catfish). RNAcentral describes it as "partial 16S ribosomal RNA". It matches the Rfam family "Bacterial large subunit ribosomal RNA", at positions 701 to 2563 of the family's 2925-position model. The record is from RNAcentral. Lineage: Eukaryota; Metazoa; Chordata; Actinopteri; Siluriformes; Siluridae.